Molecule: ribosomal RNA, 163 nt
Filed under: uncultured bacterium
Lineage: Bacteria
Description: partial 16S ribosomal RNA
Rfam family: Bacterial small subunit ribosomal RNA
Source: RNAcentral
UAAUCGCAGAUCAGAAUGCUGCGGUGAAUGCGUUCCCGGGUCUUGUACACACCGCCCGUCACACCACGGAAGUUGGGGCGCCCGAAGCCACUUAGCUAACCCAUUUGGGAAGCGAGUGUCGAAGGUGAAAUCAAUAACUGGGGUGAAGUCGUAACAAGGUAAC